UUAAGAAGGCAAAUUUUACUUGAGUAAAUUACAAUCUGAGUAAUAGUACUUUUGAACUGUUUCCAGUCUGUCUGCAGGUCCGCCAGCUCUACACCACCACCCGGUUAGGCAUCUACACAGUUCUGUUUGAGAAGAUGACGAGACAGGAUGAGACUCCGCCCAACUUCCUCAUGAAGGGGUUAUGAGUCUGUUGUUUUUAAAUCCUUUCAAUAUUUGUUUAUGUGUGUAUUGUUGUAAUUUAAUGGCUGAGGCAACUAUAUGUGUAAUUUAAAUAUUUCUUAUAAAAUGCCUUGAUUGGCCACCGGAACCUUCGUAGGAACACCUGCCGAGGUCGCUCUGAUCAGGAUGACCGCUGACGGACGGCUCCAUGGGUCGAUGAGGAAAACGACGGUUGAAAGAGAUGGGACAAAAGGCGAAUUUAGUCUGUCUGCACAUCUGACUGCACAUCUGACUGCACAUUUAAUGAUGUGACUAAACUCAACAAAAAGAAGAAGAAACUGUAUUAUGAAGCCAAGAUCAACGAUAUAAAGAACGAUGGAAAAGACAAAUUCAACUCCAUCUUUCAUCUAAUCAGAUUCAUCACAAAACUAUUUGAUGUUGCAAAUUAUUUUAAGGAUUAGGUCAUUGUAAAAGUGGGCAGGAAAUGCCAUCAACGAACAGUGAGCCAUGGUAUUCAUACAUGACAAAACAAAUACUGAAGGAAAAACAUUGCAAGUUUGAAUUUUGUAAAGUAUAUAUUGAAACACCGACGGUAAGGUUUCAAUACUGGGGGUGCAGGCUACGCCUCUCCUUAUGUCACGAGUCCGACCGAGGGUGUUUCCCCUUCCCGGGCGGGUGGCGCUCGGCGGUCGUCGUCACCGGCCUAUUAGCUGCCACUGAUUGUUUUUCCUCCCCCUCCUUGUAUGUUUAGUGGUAGCACCUGUUCAUGUUUAAUUAGUUUGUCUUUAUUAGACAGCCGGCCCGCCUGGUUGUUGUGCGGGAUUAUUUCUAUGUAACCUUCGGCUCUGUUAUUAGAGGUACGUGUUAGUGCCGAGUCGUGAUUUGUUCUAUUGUACUUUUUGAUUCCCUGUGGUUGGGAACGUAACUUUUUGUGAGCACCCUGUGGUGCGUUGGUGCUAUUAAAAGACGCACAGCAUUGAA
Long non-coding RNA from Oncorhynchus nerka (sockeye salmon), 1140 nucleotides. RefSeq lists it as uncharacterized. Lineage: Eukaryota; Metazoa; Chordata; Actinopteri; Salmoniformes; Salmonidae. The record is from RefSeq and is a predicted model, not a curated record. The transcript is spliced from 2 exons.